CUGACCUCAAGAUCCGCCCGCCUCAGCCUCCCAAAGUGCUGGGAUUACAGGCAUACCCCCUUCUAUGAGGUACUGCCCAGCCCGGCGAGCAAGCGUGCCCACUGCUCAUCAAGGCGGAAGGCAGGACUCAUCAGCUUGUAGUCAAUGCAGUGCCUGCAACAAAGCUGCUCCAAUCCAGAACGCACCCCGGGGAGAAAUAUGUCUGAAGUCAUCAUAGCUGUCUCGUCUGCAAAGUGACUUCCCGAAGGGUUACCUGACCUCGGCUCUACUGCAAAGGAAUCAUCACUGUGGGGUCCAGAACCUCAGGUGGGUGUCAGGGCCAUCCGUGGGCACUGCAGGAGUACUCUUCCAUGGACAGAGUUCACAUGUCACCCUCGCUGCAGGAAAGUGUCACCUACGGGUGCAGACAUCCAUGGAAGUGACAUAUCUGCUGCCUACUUUGGUGCAAGGAAGCACGUAGGGCGACACAGAGGCCUCCACGCAGCCUGGUGUCUGUCAUCUUGCCGGCUGUGCUGUGUUUGGGCCUGGCCCUCUUUUGGACCUGCCUGAAGGUCAGCCACCCUGUCCAGAGCUUCUCCUGAGCCCCCCGAGGACUCACAGACUGUGCCUGGCCCCCUCAAGGGAGCAGGGAGCCAGCAGCUGCCAUCCUUUCUGGGUAGAGGUGGGAAGGAGCCGGGCUGUGUUUGGGUCUGGGGUAGGCAGAGCCUCUGCUGGCCAGUGACUCCCUCAAGGCUGCUGUGUUUACAGAGAAGCAAACCAGGUGUUGCUCCUAACACUGGGUCCCACAAGAAGACAGUUCUAACCUCGUCCUUCCCAUACACUCCCUGAGAGCCAUUCCUGUCCCUUCCACAUUUCAGAGCACGACGGGUGGGCACCCCUGGGCCUGCCUCAGCUCCCUCAGGCUCUUCUCCCUACGUCCUGGUGUGGGGGUGGUGACAGCCGUGGCUCUGCAGACCACAGGAUCUGGCCUAUAUGUGACCAUUUAACAGAGUACAUGUCCCUAGGCCUGUAUUUCCCUUAAUUCCUCCCUCGAGCCCCCUAGCUCCCAACUGUAGUAUUUAACUGGGCUGGGGCUAGGUAGGGUUGCUCUGUCCUGGGGGUGGCCAGGGACUCAUCCAGUGCUUAUAAAUAAAUAAGGCCACAACUCAAAGAAAAAAAAAUAGACAUUAGGACAGCUGGGGUCUAAAAUGAGGUGGAAGUGAUGCAUCAGUGUACUUUUCCCGAUGUCCUGGGUGGCAUUAUGUGGGAGAACGCCCUUGUUUGCACGACACACACACUUAGUUGGGGCAGUACGGAAUCCCCUUGUCCAAUGAUUGUCAAAUGCCUCAAGGGGAACACUUUGUAUUGCUUGCAACUUUUCCUGUGGGUUCUAAACAGUAUCACAGUUUUGGAAA
This is a long non-coding RNA of Chlorocebus sabaeus (green monkey), 1394 nucleotides long. RefSeq lists it as uncharacterized. The record is from RefSeq and is a predicted model, not a curated record. Lineage: Eukaryota; Metazoa; Chordata; Mammalia; Primates; Cercopithecidae.